Molecule: unclassified non-coding RNA, 671 nt
Filed under: Hevea brasiliensis (rubber tree)
Lineage: Eukaryota; Viridiplantae; Streptophyta; Magnoliopsida; Malpighiales; Euphorbiaceae
Source: RNAcentral
GUUAACAAUAAUCAAAACUAUCUUCAUCAGCAUCAGCUUCCAAAUUCCAGCUACCAAACACCAAGUUCCAUUUUUUACACUCAAAUCCCAGCCUCAAACCCUCUUUUCACCUUCCAGACCAAUCCAAAUAUGUCUAGCUACUUCCCAAACUCUAGCUUUGGUGCUAAUGACCAAAUCCUUUUAAGAGCACUGGCUGCAAAUUCUGAAACAUCUGUGCAGCAAGAGAAACACUGCAAGGUUGAACAAUUUUCAUCUAACCAAUCUGUGGCCACCCUCUCACAAGACACUGGUCUGAGCACUGACGUGAACAACACCGCCGAGAUAUCAUCGGUGGUGUCGAAGCAAGAAAUGGGAAGCAACAAGGUGUACGAUGGUCUUGAAGGUCCAUCAUCAGUUGGCCCCAUUGGAGAUUUGGAGAGCUUGUGGGAUUACUAAUCAUGGAUGGUGAAUAUAUCCUGAGUGCUGCCUGUUCUAUAAGAUUCUUAGGAAUAUAUGUGAUGAUUUGAAACAGUCUUCUCUCCACUAGCUAGGUGAUUUGAUUAUAGUUAAUUUUAAAAGGUUCUUGGCUUCAAAAAUUAAUACUUUUGUAUAGAUUAUAGGUUAAAAAUUCCAUGUGUUUAAGCCUUUUUCAGAUUUCAUUUUUAGUGAGAUACAGAGGGAAAGAUACCGUG